This 250-nucleotide ribosomal RNA is filed under the name uncultured bacterium. RNAcentral describes it as "partial 16S ribosomal RNA". It matches the Rfam family "Bacterial small subunit ribosomal RNA", at positions 525 to 775 of the family's 1533-position model. The record is from RNAcentral.
ACGUAGGUGGCGAGCGUUAUCCGGAAUGAUUGGGCGUAAAGGGUGCGUAGGCGGUACGGUAAGUCUGUAGUAAAAGGCGGCAGCUCAACUGUCGUAGGCUAUGGAAACUGUCGAACUAGAGUGCAGAAGAGGGCGAUGGAACUCCAUGUGUAGCGGUAAAAUGCGUAGAUAUAUGGAAGAACACCAGUGGCGAAGGCGGUCGCCUGGUCUGUAACUGACGCUGAAGCACGAAAGCGUGGGGAGCAAAUAG